UGGUGAGAGAGUGCCAAAGUC
This 21-nucleotide non-coding RNA is filed under the name Rattus norvegicus (Norway rat). Lineage: Eukaryota; Metazoa; Chordata; Mammalia; Rodentia; Muridae. The record is from RNAcentral.